GACGAACGCUGGCGGCGUGCUUAACACAUGCAAGUCGAACGGAAAGGCCCUGCUUGCAGGGUGCUCGAGUGGCGAACGGGUGAGUAACACGUGGGUGAUCUGCCCCUUACUUUGGGAUAAGCCUGGGAAACUGGGUCUAAUACUGGAUAGGACCAUGCUGUAGGUGGUGUGGUGGAAAGAUUAGUUUCGGUAAGGGAUGAGCUCGCGGCCUAUCAGCUUGUUGGUGGGGUAAUGGCCUACCAAGGCGUCGACGGGUAGCCGGCCUGAGAGGGUGGACGCCCACAUUGGGACUGAGAUACGGCCCAGACUCCUACGGGAGGCAGCAGUGGGGAAUAUUGCACAAUGGGCGCAAGCCGGAUGCAGCGACGCCGCGUGGGGGAUGACGGCCUUCGGGUUGUAAACUCCUUUCAGCCAUGACGAAGCCCUUGUGGUGACGGUAGUGGUAGAAGAAGCACCGGCUAACUACGUG
Molecule: ribosomal RNA, 469 nt
Filed under: uncultured bacterium
Lineage: Bacteria
Description: partial 16S ribosomal RNA
Rfam family: Bacterial small subunit ribosomal RNA
Source: RNAcentral